Nothoprocta perdicaria is the source of this 252-nucleotide long non-coding RNA. RefSeq lists it as uncharacterized. The transcript is spliced from 2 exons. NCBI's taxonomy places the organism in Eukaryota, Metazoa, Chordata, Aves, Tinamiformes, Tinamidae. The record is from RefSeq and is a predicted model, not a curated record.
GCUGCUGCGCUGGGCGGGCCGCGCCGAGGAGGCGCUCGCCUGCCCCGYGCCCCCCAGCUGCCUGCUGGACACCGUCACCGCGCAGAUCCAGGAGCACAAGGCGCUGGUGAAGGAGGCGCAGGCGCACAGCGAGCAGCUCGGCGGCCUCGAGGCCAUCGCCUGCCGCCUCAAGGACUUCAGCAGGAAGCAGGAUGGCGCCGUGAUCCAGAACCUGGUGCUGACGGCGCGGGAGCGGCUGGCCAAGGUGCUGCA